Molecule: ribosomal RNA, 444 nt
Filed under: uncultured soil bacterium
Lineage: Bacteria
Description: bacterial SSU rRNA
Rfam family: Bacterial small subunit ribosomal RNA
Source: RNAcentral
AGAACGAACGCUGGCGGCAUGCCUAAUACAUGCAAGUCGAACGAAGGCUUCGGCCUUAGUGGCGCACGGGUGCGUAACGCGUGGGAAUCUGCCCCUUGGUUCGGAAUAACAGUUGGAAACGACUGCUAAUACCGGAUGAUGACGAAAGUCCAAAGAUUUAUCGCCAAGGGAUGAGCCCGCGUAGGAUUAGCUAGUUGGUGAGGUAAAGGCUCACCAAGGCGACGAUCCUUAGCUGGUCUGAGGGGAUGAUCAGCCACACUGGGACUGAGACACGGCCCAGACUCCUACGGGAGGCAGCAGUAGGGAAUAUUGGACAAUGGGCGAAAGCCUGAUCCAGCAAUGCCGCGUGAGUGAUGAAGGCCUUAGGUUGUAAAGCUCUUUUACCCGAGAUGAUAAUGACAGUAUCGGAGAAUAAGCCCCGGCUAACUCCGCGCCAGCAGCCGC